CAACAGUCUCCACUGAGCCGACACUUGUGCCGCACAGCUGAGAACAUCAGUUCAAUUUCUUUAUUUCUCUGUGCCUCCAAUGAGCCUAGUAUCAGACAAUUGAAAAGCCCAAGUGUUGUGAUUCAUUAGUUCUAUAUACUUAACCAGCUGUUAAGAGACACGGUUUUUUUUAUAGCUGAUCACCUCGUCGCAGCUGGCCAAAUUCACGUCAAACUGAAGCAGUCCAGGUGAACGAGCCUGCGUCGUGAACCAAGAUCAGUGUAUAUGUGUUUGGCUUGCCCUAUUUGAUAGUUGGUGUCAGUGUCCAUAUACUACGAACGAGUACGUACAACUGGCUGUAUAUGAUUGGGCAAAGAUGAAGGACCUAAAUGCCCUUCUCCGUGAAAGACGUAUGGUUCCAAUAUCUCUGACGUUAUCAAGAUAAAAUAUAUUUUCUUUUCUUUUCGAGAUGUCAUCAGAUUUUGUGCUAAAUUGUUUGCUUCUUCGGUUACGUUUCCAUAUGUACAAUUGCGCGGUUGCCUCUUUUAUGAAACGUAUAUAGGGGGCAGUUGAAUGGUUUUGGCUUUCAAUACUUCCGUCAUUUCAUCAGUGUAUAUUAGUAAAUCAUCCCAUUUUCUUGGUUUAUUACGGGUGCGUCGUAUAGGUUGUAGGUCAUAAAUAUUAAGUAAUACAAAAAAAAAUAAAUAAAAAAUGAUUUGAUAUUACCCGUCACUUGUCAACGCAGUCAAAAGGCCCGGCCAUAAAACCGCAAGUUUAUUUUUUACGACAACCAUUUUCUUUUGCUUGUCUUUUGUUCUGUACUUUAUAUAUAAGACAAUCGCUUUAAAUGAUUCUCAUUCUUUCUGCUGAUGCUGGCCCCCUUUUUUUUCCACAUGGGCGAAUCCACUUGAACGCCACGAAAAUCGUUUUCGUUCACCCCGUCUCUCUUUUUUUUUUAGUUUUUGAAGUGUAGAGUUGGCCCUCCCUAUAUCUGUUUGCCAUGACUGGCUCGUAUAAUGCAAAUAUAUAUAUAGGGGGCAAGAAAGAAUACAGAUUCCAUGUUAUUCAUUUGUAUAUAUAGACAGAGAAAUAUAGAACAAGCCAAUAAAA
Molecule: long non-coding RNA, 1089 nt
Organism: Daphnia magna
Lineage: Eukaryota; Metazoa; Arthropoda; Branchiopoda; Diplostraca; Daphniidae
Exons: 2
Source: RefSeq, a predicted model, not a curated record